Molecule: ribosomal RNA, 439 nt
Filed under: uncultured bacterium
Lineage: Bacteria
Description: partial 16S ribosomal RNA
Rfam family: Bacterial small subunit ribosomal RNA
Source: RNAcentral
CUACGGGUUGCACCAGUGAGGAAUAUUGCACAAUGGGGGGAACCCUGAUGCAGCAACGCCGCGUGGAGGAUGACGCAUUUCGGUGUGUAGACUCCUUUUAUAUGUCAAGAAAAUGACGGUAGCAUAUGAAUAAGCACCGGCUAACUCCGUGCCAGCAGCCGCGGUAAUACGGAGGGUGCAAGCGUUACUCGGAAUCACUGGGCGUAAAGGACGCGUAGGCGGGUUGGAAAGUCAGGUGUGAAAUCCUACAGCUUAACUGUAGAACUGCACUUGAAACUUCUAAUCUAGAGUAUGGGAGGGGGAGAUGGAAUUAAUGGUGUAGGGGUAAAAUCCGUAGAUAUCACUAGGAAUACCUAAAGCGAAGGCGAUCUCCUGGAACAUUACUGACGCUAAGGCGUGAAAGCGUGGGGAGCAAACAGGAUUAGAUACCCCAGUAGUC